GAUGAACGCUAGCGGUGUGCCUAAUACAUGCAAGUCGAGCGAACAGACGAGGAGCUUACUCCUCUGACGUUAGCGGCGGACGGGUGAGUAACACGUGGAUAACCUACCUAUAAGACUGGGAUAACUUCGGGAAACCGGAGCUAAUACCGGAUAACAUGUUGAACCGCAUGGUUCAACAGUGAAAGACGGUCUUGCUGUCACUUAUAGAUGGAUCCGCGUCGCAUUAGCUAGUUGGUAAGGUAACGGCUUACCAAGGCAACGAUGCGUAGCCGACCUGAGAGGGUGAUCGGCCACACUGGAACUGAGACACGGUCCAGACUCCUACGGGAGGCAGCAGUAGGGAAUCUUCCGCAAUGGGCGAAAGCCUGACGGAGCAACGCCGCGUGAGUGAAGAAGGUCUUCGGAUCGUAAAACUCUGUUAUUAGGGAAGAACAAAUGUGUAAGUAACUAUGCACGUCUUGACGGUACCUAAUCAGAAAGCCACGGCUGACUACGU
RNAcentral lists this ribosomal RNA (496 nucleotides) under uncultured bacterium. Its description in RNAcentral is "partial 16S ribosomal RNA". It matches the Rfam family "Bacterial small subunit ribosomal RNA", at positions 28 to 506 of the family's 1533-position model. The record is from RNAcentral.